This 27-nucleotide non-coding RNA is filed under the name Macaca fascicularis (crab-eating macaque). RNAcentral also lists the same sequence under 1 other name. The record is from RNAcentral. Lineage: Eukaryota; Metazoa; Chordata; Mammalia; Primates; Cercopithecidae.
UCGUGGAAUAGAGAAUAGUGCUGAGGC